UUUUCUUUAACUAUACAGAUUAGUAUUUAUCAAAAGCACUCCACCGCUAAAACCAAAACCCUUCCCACGUUCUACGACUUCUACCUCUUCCUUCCUUCUCCCACCACGAUUUACACGGUUAAGGAUCUGUUCCCAAUCGAAUUCAAGAGUUUAAUCCCAAUCCGAAUUCAAAAGUUUAAUCCCAAUCCAACUCGACUCAAAGCGAAAUUUCUCAAAUCCAAAUUUACAGAUUUCACUUCAAUCUAAAUCCAGAUAUUUUCUUAUUUAUCUUCUUCUCCAGCGAAUGUUUCUCGGCGGAGAUUAAUAUCUUGCGAACAUUUUUCCCGGCUUCUUGUGGUUGAAUUAUCAAUUGGUUUCGCACCAUUACCGAUUUAGGAGUUUGUUUAGCAUCUAACACCUUCUCAAUCGAGUGUCCUGCACAAGGUAUUACGGCUUGCUCGGAAACUAUGAGAUUUUCUUCUUGUUGGAAUCCAUACUGUCCAGACUGUCAGUUUUCAGAAAGACAGUUGCGUACUGGACUAAGGUCAACUGGAACAAAAUCUUUGGAAUUGCAAGGUGUCCUCGGCAAAAGAAUGUCAUGGAUUUUGGAUAUUAUGUCAUGAGAUACAUGAAGAUUACUUUCCUGAUUGCAAUGUUCCGAAUUAUGAUCAAGGACAAAUUGAUGAAGCCAGAGCUCAAUGGACGCGUCAUGUUCUUCUCGUGUGAAUAUUGUGAUGCAUAAUUAUGUUUUUCGACUAGAAUUUCUCUAGAACGUUUUAAUUUUAUUUUAUUGGUUUGAAAUUAAAAGAAGUACUAUAUGACAACGAUACUUCUUUCUGUUUUCUAGUGUGUUUUUAUUGUACUGUGUAUUUAGGCAUAUAUGAUUUUAAGUUAUGUACGAGACAUCGAGACGUUUAUUUGAUAUGAUAGAAAUGAAGUUGGAUCUUAUAUAUAUUCAAUUUGA
Molecule: long non-coding RNA, 943 nt
Organism: Spinacia oleracea (spinach)
Lineage: Eukaryota; Viridiplantae; Streptophyta; Magnoliopsida; Caryophyllales; Amaranthaceae
Exons: 6
Source: RefSeq, a predicted model, not a curated record